This is a long non-coding RNA of Passer domesticus (house sparrow), 352 nucleotides long. RefSeq lists it as uncharacterized. The transcript has 3 exons. NCBI's taxonomy places the organism in Eukaryota, Metazoa, Chordata, Aves, Passeriformes, Passeridae. The record is from RefSeq and is a predicted model, not a curated record.
GGGAAGGAGCGUGUUGAAGAAGACCCUUCUCGUUUCACAAGCUCCUUUGGCUGGGGACAGAGGACUGGUGCUGCAUACGAGAGUGAGCGUUGCUAAGGGAACAGGGAGAAAAAGCAGUCCUUCCCUCCUGCGGUUACACUAUAAGCCAAGCGGUCAGCUUUGCACCCUUCAAAAGUGAUGUAUCUGAGAAGACUGAGCUACGCCUUUCUUGUGAUGAAAAUAUUUCUAUGGAUCUGCAUUCAAAUUCAUAAACUGAAAAGAAAGCCUGCUUUCACUGAAGAGUCUCCUGAUGCAGAACAUAGAGGAAUGGUGUAUGUUGCUAUUAAUACUUUCAGUGAGUAAUUCAUGGUUA